This is a long non-coding RNA of Sitophilus oryzae (rice weevil), 403 nucleotides long. RefSeq lists it as uncharacterized. The record is from RefSeq and is a predicted model, not a curated record. The transcript is spliced from 3 exons. Lineage: Eukaryota; Metazoa; Arthropoda; Insecta; Coleoptera; Curculionidae.
UAAAUUUCAAAAAAUAUGCAGAGACAAUCCACACUUGUUAAUAAAUCUUCUAAGAUAAUACAAGGGCAAGCAGUACCGUAGAAUUACUAGAAAUUACGGCAAAUAGGCUAACAUUCAGAAACAUAAACAAGUCCAGGAAAUAAAGAUCAUUACUGAUUGAUUACUGACUGAUAUAUUGCAUGGACAGCAAAAUAAAUUAAGCAAAGUAGAGUAAGAAACAUAAUGAAAUAUAGCUGUAAUGAAUAUCUGUUUAUAAAAAUUAAAUGCAAUAAAUUUAUUUAUCAGCAUAAAUAAGAGUUUGAUCUAACUUGUAAGCAAAAUUGGUAUAUAUUUUUAAACCUAGUUGAAGCUAAAUUUGGAUUGUUAAUGAUUCCAAAUAUUUUAGAAGUUUGUGGCAGGUUUA